CAACAACGGAACCCAGGGGACAGGACUGCAUCAACUACAACCAGACGGCGUAGACGGCAGCACACGGCCCUCGGCAAAUCAGAGGUGCUCAGUGACCACAGCCACCAUGACAGCAGGGCGGGGCGGGGGGCAAGGAAGCAGCGCUGGGAGACUUGGAGACACCCCAAAAAACGCCUUCCUCAGAAACACUGCUGUGCAAGAACCUGCAAAUCCCUAAGGCGUCUGUGUCCGAUGGCCCCGGCCCCAUGCUCUGAGGUCGCGCAGGUGUCCAAGGCCAGGAGGGGCACCGAGGAGACGAAGAAGAAACAGCACAGCAGCUGGGGAGGUAGGAACAGCAGAGUCUGAGUCACCAAAGCCCGGGGCUGCCACUCUCCAGGGCGCCCCACUCCCAGCUCCAGCGGCUGAGUCCACCAAGCCAGGACAGGCCCAAGGACCAGAGGGCGAGGUGAUUCACAGUGGAGCUCGGAAAGACCCAUCCAUGCCCAGCGCCUUGUCAAAAACCACAGGGGUCUUGGUGACAAGCAAUUGAGGGAGGCCAACAUGGCAGAGCCAGGGCUGCAAAAUCGGCUGGAAUAAGCAUCAGACCUGCUAGAAGGGUUUUCUGUGCCUGUUUUCGGUGAGCACAGAACAACUGAAGGAAGCGCGGGACAGACACAAGGGCGGGCCUCGGUGCCACGGCUGGCCUUGGGCAGAGGGAAAUGCUUUGUGUACUUUCUCUGGGAAGCAGCAGCCCCAGCGCGGCCUCGGCGUCCUCUGCCGCCAACUGCUCCGUGACCGCUGGGCGUGUGUGCGGGGACAUGGGAGCAACUUCACAGUGGUGGGAAGUUUCUCUCCUAAAACGAAAGCUUCUCUAUACUACAGAUUGGCCC
This 869-nucleotide long non-coding RNA is filed under the name Homo sapiens (human). Its description in RNAcentral is "CHLSN antisense RNA 1". Lineage: Eukaryota; Metazoa; Chordata; Mammalia; Primates; Hominidae. The record is from RNAcentral.